UGGUGGGUUGCCUUGUCAGGUUGAUUCCGGUAACGAACGAGACCUCAGCCUGCUAAAUAGUCAACAUCGCAUCUGCGGUGUGCAGACUUCUUAGAGGGACUAUUGGCGUUUAGCCAAUGGAAGUAUGAGGCGAUAACA
Molecule: ribosomal RNA, 138 nt
Filed under: uncultured eukaryote
Lineage: Eukaryota
Description: partial 18S ribosomal RNA
Rfam family: Eukaryotic small subunit ribosomal RNA
Source: RNAcentral